RNAcentral lists this ribosomal RNA (466 nucleotides) under uncultured bacterium. RNAcentral describes it as "partial 16S ribosomal RNA". It matches the Rfam family "Bacterial small subunit ribosomal RNA", at positions 28 to 506 of the family's 1533-position model. The record is from RNAcentral.
GACGAACGCUGGCGGCGUGCUUAACACAUGCAAGUCGAACGGAAAGGCCUCUUUCGGGGGGUACUCGAGUGGCGAACGGGUGAGUAACACGUGAGUAACGUGCCCUUGACUUUGGGAUAACUUCAGGAAACUGGGGCUAAUACCGGAUAGGAGCUCCUGCUGCAUGGUGGGGGUUGGAAAGUUUCGGCGGUUGGGGUUGGACUCGCGGCUUAUCAGCUUGUUGGUGGGGUAGUGGCUUACCAAGGCUUUGCCGGGUAGCCGGCCUGAGAGGGUGACCGGCCACAUUGGGACUGAGAUACGGCCCAGACUCCUACGGGAGGCAGCAGUGGGGAAUAUUGCACAAUGGGUGGAAGCCUGAUGCAGCAACGCCGUGUGCGGGAUGACGGCCUUCGGGUUGUAAACCGCUUUCGCUCAUGACGAAGCUUUGUGUGACGGUAGUGGGUAAAGAAGCACCGGCUAACUACGU